GGAAAAUUUCGGGAGGUCAGCGGGCGGACGGGUGAGUAACACGUGGGCAACCUGCCUGUAAGACUGGGAUAACUCCGGGAAACCGGAGCUAAUACCGGAUACUAUGUCAAACCGCAUGGUUUGACAUUCAAAGACGGUUUCGGCUGUCACUUACAGAUGGGCCCGCGGCGCAUUAGCUAGUUGGUGAGGUAAUGGCUCACCAAGGCGACGAUGCGUAGCCGACCUGAGAGGGUGAUCGGCCACACUGGGACUGAGACACGGCCCAGACUCCUACGGGAGGCAGCAGUAGGGAAUCUUCCGCAAUGGACGAAAGUCUGACGGAGCAACGCCGCGUGAGUGAUGAAGGUUUUCGGAUCGUAAAACUCUGUUGUCAGGGAAGAACAAGUGCCGGAGUAACUGCCGGCACCUUGACGGUACCUGACCAGAAAGCCACGGCUAACUACGUGCCAGCAGCCGCGGUAAUACGUAGGUGGCAAGCGUUGUCCGGAAUUAUUGGGCGUAAAGCGCGCGCAGGCGGUUUCUUAAGUCUGAUGUGAAAGCCCCCGGCUCAACCGGGGAGGGUCAUUGGAAACUGGGAAACUUGAGUGCAGAAGAGGAGAGUGGAAUUCCACGUGUAGCGGUGAAAUGCGUAGAGAUGUGGAGGAACACCAGUGGCGAAGGCGACUCUCUGGUCUGUAACUGACGCUGAGGCGCGAAAGCGUGGGGAGCGAACAGGAUUAGAUACCCUGGUAGUCCACGCCGUAAACGAUGAGUGCUAAGUGUUAGAGGGUUUCCGCCCUUUAGUGCUGCAGCUAACGCAUUAAGCACUCCGCCUGGGGAGUACGGGUCGCAGACUGAACUCAAGGAAUUGACUGGGGCCGCACAAGCGGUGGAGCAUGUU
Molecule: ribosomal RNA, 880 nt
Filed under: Metabacillus indicus
Lineage: Bacteria; Bacillati; Bacillota; Bacilli; Caryophanales; Bacillaceae
Description: bacterial SSU rRNA
Rfam family: Bacterial small subunit ribosomal RNA
Source: RNAcentral